AUGUUCCUACGGGGGGCAGCAGUGAGGAAUAUUGGUCAAUGGGCGGGAGCCUGAACCAGCCAAGUCGCGUGAAGGAAGAAGGUACUUAGUAUUGUAAACUUCUUUUGUCGGGGAACAAAGGCGGAGACGCGUCUCCGGAUGAGUGUACCCGAAGAAAAAGCAUCGGCUAACUCCGUGCCAGCAGCCGCGGUAAUACGGAGGAUGCGAGCGUUAUACGGAUUUAUUGGGUUUAAAGGGUGCGCAGGCGGGAGAGCAAGUCAGCGGGAAAAUGUCGGGGCUCAACCCCGGCCGGCAGGUG
This 298-nucleotide ribosomal RNA is filed under the name uncultured bacterium. RNAcentral describes it as "partial 16S ribosomal RNA". It matches the Rfam family "Bacterial small subunit ribosomal RNA", at positions 333 to 629 of the family's 1533-position model. The record is from RNAcentral.